Molecule: long non-coding RNA, 260 nt
Filed under: Elaeis guineensis (African oil palm)
Lineage: Eukaryota; Viridiplantae; Streptophyta; Magnoliopsida; Arecales; Arecaceae
Description: long non-coding RNA (EGUI_LNC016724)
Source: RNAcentral
GGAAGGGGGUGGAAGGGUGGAGCACAAGAUGGUGCACGUGGAAGCAUCAAAGCAGUGGUCCCUCUUUCCCCUUCCCAUGCGUUGAGGCCAUCAAGAUUGUCCUUUGGAUAAAAAUGCUCAAAGGUCGUCCUCAUGACAUGUUGAUUUGGUGGACAAGGUGCCUAGAAUUACCGAAGGAGCUUAAAAGUGUGGAAGCUUUUCAUUUUGAGGAUUUAAAAUAGAUUUUUUUAGUAACUAUUCCAUGAUCCUAGCUAUCAAUU